GUGUCAGCCGCCGCGGUAAUACGUAGGUGGCAAGCGUUGUCCGGAAUUAUUGGGCGUAAAGCGCGCGCAGGCGGCCUCUUAAGUCUGAUGUGAAAGCCCCCGGCUCAACCGGGGAGGGCCAUUGGAAACUGGGAGGCUUGAGUAUAGGAGAGAAGAGUGGAAUUCCACGUGUAGCGGUGAAAUGCGUAGAGAUGUGGAGGAACACCAGUGGCGAAGGCGACUCUUUGGCCUAUAACUGACGCUGAGGCGCGAAAGCGUGGGGAGCAAACAGGAUUAGAUACCCCCGUAGUCC
This 292-nucleotide ribosomal RNA is filed under the name uncultured bacterium. RNAcentral's name for it is "partial 16S ribosomal RNA". It matches the Rfam family "Bacterial small subunit ribosomal RNA", at positions 505 to 796 of the family's 1533-position model. RNAcentral also lists the same sequence under 1 other name. The record is from RNAcentral.